RNAcentral lists this ribosomal RNA (253 nucleotides) under uncultured bacterium. RNAcentral's name for it is "partial 16S ribosomal RNA". It matches the Rfam family "Bacterial small subunit ribosomal RNA", at positions 524 to 776 of the family's 1533-position model. The record is from RNAcentral.
UACGGAGGAUGCAAGCGUUAUCCGGAAUUAUUGGGCGUAAAGCGUCCGCAGGUGGCUAUGUAAGUCUGCUGUUAAAGAGUGAGGCUCAACCUCAUAAGAGCAGUGGAAACUACACAGCUAGAGUACGGUCGGGGUAGAAGGAAUUCCUGGUGUAGCGGUGAAAUGCGUAGAGAUCAGGAAGAACACCGGUGGCGAAAGCGUUCUGCUAGACCUGUACUGACACUGAGGGACGAAAGCUAGGGGAGCGAAUGGG